RNAcentral lists this long non-coding RNA (568 nucleotides) under Mytilus galloprovincialis (Mediterranean mussel). Lineage: Eukaryota; Metazoa; Mollusca; Bivalvia; Mytilida; Mytilidae. The record is from RNAcentral.
UUGCAAAGGAGUAUGUUCGGUAAGGUCCUAAAAUGGCCCCCAUUUUUAGCGUCAAUUUCAAAUUCGGAUUUAUUGACCAAUAUCACAAUAAAUUAUAGCUUAUACAGUGACUAGAUAGGAAAUAAGCCAUUUUGUUGAAAAUUUUACGUUUUUGCGUUUCAUUAUGACGUCACAAGUUGUACUCAUAUUGAUUUUUCACGAAAAAAUCAAUGAAAAUGGGUAAAUUUUCCAUAGAUUAUUAGACAGGAAACAUAGAGCGCAUACGUCGACAACAAAGAUCUUUUAAUAUAAUGUUUGUGAAGACAUUUCACAUGUUUUAUUUGAAUAUUUAGUUUGUCGACGCCUGCGCUCUAUCUUUCCUGGUCCUUAAAUUGGUUGAAAUCCAGCUGUUUUUGUCAAAUUUCACCAAAACCCUUUAUUUUGACCUAUUUGGGAUAUAAAAAUCAACGUGUUAGAAUAAAAUUUUCACAAAAAACAGUUCUGUUAAACUUUCUCACAUGUCUUUAAGGCAACUUAAAACAUUUAUUGUCUUGUAACUAUGAACUUUAUAAUUGGGGCCAAAUAUGGC